AGUGAACGCUGGCGGUAGGCCUAACACAUGCAAGUCGAACGGCAGCACAGUAAGAGCUUGCUCUUACGGGUGGCGAGUGGCGGACGGGUGAGGAAUACAUCGGAAUCUACUUUUUCGUGGGGAUAACGUAGGGAAACUUACGCUAAUACCGCAUACGACCUACGGGUGAAAGCAGGGGAUCUUCGGACCUUGCGCGAUUGAAUGAGCCGAUGUCGGAUUAGCUAGUUGGCGGGGUAAAGGCCCACCAAGGCGACGAUCCGUAGCUGGUCUGAGAGGAUGAUCAGCCACACUGGAACUGAGACACGGUCCAGACUCCUACGGGAGGCAGCAGUGGGGAAUAUUGGACAAUGGGCGCAGGCCUGAUCCAGCCAUACCGCGUGGGUGAAGAAGGCCUUCGGGUUGUAAAGCCCUUUUGUUGGGAAAGAAAAGCAGCAGGUUAAUACCCCGCUGUUCUGACGGUACCCAAAGAAUAAGCACCGGCUAACUUCGUG
RNAcentral lists this ribosomal RNA (491 nucleotides) under uncultured bacterium. Its description in RNAcentral is "partial 16S ribosomal RNA". It matches the Rfam family "Bacterial small subunit ribosomal RNA", at positions 29 to 507 of the family's 1533-position model. The record is from RNAcentral.